UACAGAGGUCUCAAGCGUUGUUUCGGAUUCAUUGGGCGUAAAGGGUGCGUAGGUGGCAGGGUAAGUCGGAUGUGAAAUCCCGGGGCUCAACCUCGGAAACUGCAUUCGAUACUGCUUUGCUGGAGUACUGGAGAGGAGAUUGGAAUUUACGGUGUAGCAGUGAAAUGCGUAGAUAUCGUAAGGAAGACCAGUGGCGAAGGCGGAUCUCUGGACAGUUACUGACAACUG
This 228-nucleotide ribosomal RNA is filed under the name uncultured bacterium. RNAcentral describes it as "partial 16S ribosomal RNA". It matches the Rfam family "Bacterial small subunit ribosomal RNA", at positions 524 to 748 of the family's 1533-position model. The record is from RNAcentral.